GAUGGAAAGUGGGCUUAAAGAAGCCAUCUUUUUAGAGUGGGUUAAUCCUCAGUAUUUCUAGUUAAUGAUCAAAUGAAGUUCCUUUUGUUCAACAAAACUUCUUCACGAAACUAAGGAGUGAAGGUAAUAAUGUAAAGAUGAGUAGCUCAGUUUUUGGGGUUUAUUUGGUUCAGGAAAUUAAACGCUAAGUGAACGAUGAUGAUAAGCAAAGCUAAAGGAACUCGGCAACAACGAAAACCGCCUGUUUAGCAAAAACAUGGCUCCUUGAAAUCAUAAGGAGUCGUGCCUUCCCGGUGAGUUUAAACUUAAACGGAUGCGGUAAAGCGUGCUAAGGUAGCUAAGUUAUGGCCUAGUUAAUUGUAGGCCCUGUGAAUGGUUUGACGAGUUUUCUUCUGUCUCUAGCUUGUUUUAGUGAACUUGAAUUGGAUGUGCAAAUGCUUCCUUGCGAAAGAAAGACGAGAAGACCCCGUGAAGUUAGAAAUCUAUGUGCGUGGAGGUAAAAGGUUACUUUCCUUAGCUUAUGGUUUUGG
This 530-nucleotide ribosomal RNA is filed under the name Argopecten purpuratus. Its description in RNAcentral is "partial 16S ribosomal RNA". It matches the Rfam family "Bacterial large subunit ribosomal RNA", at positions 1092 to 2154 of the family's 2925-position model. Lineage: Eukaryota; Metazoa; Mollusca; Bivalvia; Pectinida; Pectinidae. The record is from RNAcentral.